GCUUAAAGCGGCCGUAGCCGGUCUGAUAAGUCUCUGGUGAAAUCCCACAGCUUAACUGUGGGAAUUGCUGGAGAUACUAUCAUGACUCGAGGUCGGGAGAGGCUGGAGGUACUCCCAGGGUAGGGGUGAAAUCCUGUAAUCCUGGGAGGACCACCUGUGGCGAAGGCGUCCAGCUGGAACGAACCUGACGGUGAGGGACGAAAGCCAGGGGCGCGAACCGGAUUAGAUACCCGGGUAGUCCUGGCCGUAAACGAUGUGGACUUGGUGUUGGGAUGGCUUCGAGCUGCCCCAGUGCCGAAGGGAAGCUGUUAAGUCCACCGCCUGGGAAGUACGGCCGCAAGGCUGAAACUUAAAGGAAUUGGCGGGGGAGCACCACAACGCGUGGAGCCUGUGGUUUAAUUGGAAUCAACGCCGGACAUCUCACCAGGGGCGACAGCAGUAUGAUGGCCAGGUUGAUGACCUUGCUUGACAAGCUGAGAGGAGGUGCAUGGCCGUCGCCAGUUCGUACUGUGAAGCAUCCUGUUAAGUCAGGCAACGAGCGAGACCCGUGCCCACUGUUACCAGCAUGUCCUCCGGGACGAUGGGUACUCUGUGGGGACCGCCGAUGUUAAAUCGGAGGAAGGUGCGGGCUACGGUAGGUCCGCAUGCCCCUAA
This 654-nucleotide ribosomal RNA is filed under the name uncultured archaeon. Its description in RNAcentral is "bacterial SSU rRNA". It matches the Rfam family "Archaeal small subunit ribosomal RNA", at positions 508 to 1160 of the family's 1478-position model. The record is from RNAcentral.